CUUCUUCUAUACGUGUGCUUCUCCCUCCAUUCUCCUCCCUACCACCAUCAUCGCCCAGCCCACUGUCGUUCUCGCCAUCGUCUUGCCCCACCGCCGUCCUCACAACCACCAUGGUCAUCAACAACGACCACCACCAACCCCUCUUCUUCGUGUGGCCUCUCUCUCUCCAUUAUUCCACCGGUGGCCUGACCUCCGUCCUCGCAACCAUCGCAGUCUUCAACAGUGACCGUCGUCGUCCUCACAACCAUCAACCGGCUCGGAUCUAGAUCUCAUACCUCCGGCGGCCGGCGACAACCUCUUCUCUCCCUCACGCCAUUUGAGAUUCGCCAAGUUGCCCGCCGUUAGAGUUAUGUUCAGGUUAUCGUCGGAAAUUGACAAAGAAGAGGGAUAGGAGAGAGAUGCAUAGAGAAGAAAAGACAGAGAGAGUGAGAAUUGCAAAGAAGUGGAGAGGAAGAGGGAAAGAAAAAAAGAAUUAAAAAAAAGGGAAAUACGGAUAAUGUUACGGUGUCGAAAUUGUGUUUGUAAAACUGUGUUCAUGUAUCAAUCCUCAUUAAAAUUAGAAUAUGAAACUAAUCAUAAUUAUAUGUUUUACAUGCAGGAACUUCCCCAAAAGCAUCAUU
This 620-nucleotide long non-coding RNA is filed under the name Medicago truncatula (barrel medic). Its description in RNAcentral is "lncRNA gene42672". The record is from RNAcentral. Lineage: Eukaryota; Viridiplantae; Streptophyta; Magnoliopsida; Fabales; Fabaceae.